RNAcentral lists this long non-coding RNA (221 nucleotides) under Musa acuminata (dwarf banana). RNAcentral's name for it is "long non-coding RNA (MACU_LNC011737)". Lineage: Eukaryota; Viridiplantae; Streptophyta; Magnoliopsida; Zingiberales; Musaceae. The record is from RNAcentral.
ACACAAGAAAGUCAAGACGGAGCCGCCCCGACAGCAGCAGCCCCCCGCCUCCCGUCGCAGGUUGGAUAGAUCCGACCCGAGGUCUCCUCUCCUUGUCUUGAGUUCUUCGUAGACAGAAAUACUUCGCCAUGAGAAGGGGAAAGGAUUACUCAAGGAGCCCCACCCGAUGAGGAGCCCGCGAGAGCUCGCGGACCGCUCGAAAUGCUGUCGUUUUCAUCGGC